UGCCUCAAUUUUAUGGUAACAAUUUGAAAGGACGAAGAAGGGAGGAAAUAGAGAAAAGGGCACAAACUACCCAACGACAUGACAGUUGGAGCUUUUUUCUAAACUUGAAGUGAUUAUCAAUCUCUUCCUCGCCUAAAUUUGGUGGCAGAUGGAGAUACACAAAAUCUUAGAAUCCAAUCUCCAUCACAUAUAUGAUACAUCUUCACACCUCCCCUCUUCCCACCUUAUCUAUCUACACUACUUCUUUUAAAUGUACAAAGAAAAGAUAUUUUCUCUUUUUUGAUUUUCACAAAUGCCCCAAGCACUUGCAACUAAUACUAGUCCCGUCCUACACCUCUUCCGAACGGACGCAAUACAAUGCUCCAACCAAAAUGAUACAACCUGAACGACAAGCAUCCCUUCAAUCCUUCUUUGCAGUGGAUCGCCUCCAUAAAUGGGAAAAUCGAAUCCCCUUCACACUUAUUAUCUUCAGAUUUCUCACUACCAACAUUACAUCCCAAAAAAAACAGAGGCAAAUUAACACUAGGGAGAGGCAUUUGAAGUACUGGGGUUGUCAGUUUGUUGUAAAGGAAGACAACCACAAGAACUUCCAACAGGUUAUUAAUUUGUUCCUCCUGCCACUAUACAAGAACUAGAGGAUACACUAUGGAAUCAAGUUAUCGGGUGGCAACUAAUAUGCUACAAGAGAAUCUGAAAAGGUUGGCCGGAGAAGGAUCAAGAUCCAAUUGGAAAACUGGUGGAAAAUUUACGGAUAGAAAAUAUAGAAUGAGCGUAAUUCCAUAUUGACCCGAACCAACCCAUACACUCCCAUUUUUAAUAAGAUUCCAGCCAGAAGCAUACAAGUACUGUAAUGCGCUUCUCCAUGGGUAUUGUAUACAAGUACCAUGGAAGACAACAGUUUUUUAUGUGGAGAUUAUAUAGAAGGCACUUUACACUACUAUGUAGUACAUUGGCAGGAUAUCUGGUGCUCAACGUAUGUUCAAGGGUGUGCUUGGGUAGGGGAACAUCCAUUGAUGUGUAAUUGCUUGGCUGUGGAACAGUGGAGAUACAGUUGGGGCAAGAUGUGUUCCAUUUUGAGUUUAGGGAACUUUUGGACUGGACUAGAGAAAUACUUUUGCAUGUUGAUUUCUCUUGGUCUAGCGACUUUGCGGUUUGGCUUGAGCAACAUGGAAGCAUAGAAGAAUGUGCUGCACACAGAGACGAAUUUACAUAUGGGCAUAUGGGGGCCACGGCCCGCGCAUUGUUUUGGGGGUUUUUUUUUUUUAAUUUCAAUGUUAAUAUUAAUUAUUUUUUGUUUGUUAAGAACACUUAGAUAUUGAAUUUUGUAUUGGAUGCUAUUUAAAUAUUUAAAUGCUUUAAGAAUGUGUUCAUUUUGGGUUCCAAAAA
Molecule: long non-coding RNA, 1386 nt
Organism: Rhododendron vialii
Lineage: Eukaryota; Viridiplantae; Streptophyta; Magnoliopsida; Ericales; Ericaceae
Exons: 2
Source: RefSeq, a predicted model, not a curated record